UGCGGGUUUUAUUCCCAUUCGGGAUGGAUAUGUGCACAGUAAAAAUAGCGUAAAAAUGAAAAACAUUCUGAGACAUUCUUAACUGAGAAAAUAUCUGGCUGAGAGUGAGUGGAGGUGAGAUGAACACUUACCUUGUAGCAGUCCCAUCUGUAAGCGCUGGAUUGCAGCAAGGAGACCAGCAACAUCAGCGUUUUGAAAAUGAAUUGCAGUGGGUGACAUCAAGAAAGUCCACAAUGGCAGCGUCAAUAACGACCACUCUCCAAAGGGUGAUAGAAAGGUCCCUGGAGAGACAAAACUAGUAGUGAUAGACGAGUUUCCAAGAAAAGAAGCCUAAUUAUGUUCGGAGGUUGUGUAUUAG
RNAcentral lists this unclassified non-coding RNA (358 nucleotides) under Melitaea cinxia (Glanville fritillary). Its description in RNAcentral is "misc RNA ENSMCXG00005001245.1". The record is from RNAcentral. Lineage: Eukaryota; Metazoa; Arthropoda; Insecta; Lepidoptera; Nymphalidae.